RNAcentral lists this transfer RNA (70 nucleotides) under Fukomys damarensis (Damara mole-rat). It matches the Rfam family "tRNA". Rfam says of the family: Transfer RNA (tRNA) molecules are approximately 80 nucleotides in length. Their secondary structure includes four short double-helical elements and three loops (D, anti-codon, and T loops). The record is from Rfam by way of RNAcentral. Lineage: Eukaryota; Metazoa; Chordata; Mammalia; Rodentia; Bathyergidae.
UGGGGUGUGGCUUGGUAUAGAGUACCUGCCUGGCAUGCAUGAGGCCUUGGUUCCAUCCCCAGCACUUCAA